CGCCAUUUGGAGUGGAAAAAUCUAAUGAUAGGUGUCUACACCAUAGAGGUAAGGUCAUGUACAACACAUCUACACCACAUUUACCCUAUCUUAUUAAUAAGGUUAUGAAGCCAACCAAUCUAAUUACCAACAAACCAUGAAAGCUUGAAGUUGCUAACCAAUUAGCACUUUUUAGUUAGGGAUUUAAACUAAUAUGAGGUUGGUGCUUUUUUCUAGACAAGAAACCUUGAAAUAAUGGGGUAAGUGCCAUCCCGUUUGGCGCCAAGUCUUUAAGAGAAUCUCAAGGCCAACAUGACAUAGUUGUUUAUCACAAAUUGUUUCUUAAAAAAAUAGGGAAAGUAUCCCACUGGUCUGCUUUUGGGCACCAUGUAUCCAUCUUUUGUGUAGGACAGCAAAAUAAUAUUGUGGUGCCAAGUUUUGGCCCAUUUUGCUAGGCAAUCAUGUCUUACUUCGCCUAUUAAAGCAACACAUUUUACAUGACUCACUCCACACAUGUACGCGCGCGCACACACACACGCACACACAAACACACAUUGCAAACUUUAUCACAUAAACAACCUCCAUGCCUGCAAUAUUUCCAUUGAAGGAAAUAUUUGUGAAAACAAGUUCAUUUGAGCAACAUCUACACCAUGCAAUUAACAAUUAAAGGCGGAAUAAUGCUUGUAUGCACUCAAAAACAAAACUUUACCCAUGAAAUUCAAAGCCUAAUGAGUGUGGUGAACCAAGCCUCAACUCAGGAACAAAGUGAGUUAAGAAAUAUUAUACCUUUAUUGAUUCCUCUUUGCAUAAGCAAAGGCUAAUCACCUAAGAGAUAGGGUCUUCAUUCCUUACUUCUUAGCUCCAUGGAUUUCUUGGAGGAGGAUGGUGGAAUGGAUUCUCCAAGUUCCCAAGAAAGGGAACCUCUAAGUCUCCACACCAAGGAGAGCAUUGAUGAGGAGAUGAGUGACCUAAGAUGAUUUAGAUGCUAGUAAAACUUUCCUAGGGUGGCCAGCCUCUUAGAGAGAAAAGGGAGCUUGUGUUCUCAUCUUUUCUCCAAAAGAAACCCUUAAAUGAAUUUUGGCUAUAAAGUUCUUUAUAUAGUCACUUCACUUAAGUGACAAAAAUAACCAAAACCCUAUUUCAUCAAUAUGGCCAGCCUUUUAUGGUCUUUGGGCUAUUUGGGCCCUCUUGAAUCUUUAUUCAUUAAGUUGUCAUACAACUUAAUGAAGGAAAAUUUUGUGAAAACAUGUUCAUUUAAGCAACAUCUAUAAGCAUGCAAUUAACAAUUAAAGGCGGAAUCAUGCUAG
RNAcentral lists this long non-coding RNA (1286 nucleotides) under Malus domestica (apple). Its description in RNAcentral is "long non-coding RNA (MDOM_LNC000215)". Lineage: Eukaryota; Viridiplantae; Streptophyta; Magnoliopsida; Rosales; Rosaceae. The record is from RNAcentral.